RNAcentral lists this ribosomal RNA (327 nucleotides) under uncultured eukaryote. RNAcentral describes it as "partial 18S ribosomal RNA". It matches the Rfam family "Eukaryotic small subunit ribosomal RNA", at positions 1470 to 1796 of the family's 1831-position model. The record is from RNAcentral.
CCCUUAGAUGUUCUGGGCCGCACACGCGCUACACUGAAGGAGGCAGCGUGUACUCCUGGAUCGAAAGAUUUGGGUAACCCGCGAAUCUCCUUCGUGCUAGGGAUUGAGGUUUGCAAUUAUCCUUCAUGAACGAGGAAUUCCCAGUAAGUGCAAGUCAUAAGCUUGCGCUGACUAUGUCCCUGCCCUUUGUACACACCGCCCGUCGCUACUACCGAUUGAAUGAUUUAGUGAGGACUUCGGACUGGGACCGAUGCGGCUUUCGGGCUGCGUCGGUAUUCUGGAAAGAUGUCCAAACUGUAUCAUUUAGAGGAAGUAAAAGUCGUAACA